AAGAAGGGAAAGGGACCUGUAUGUGCACGAAUGUUUGUGGCAGCCCUUUUUGUAGUGGCUAAAAACUGGAAACUGAAUGGAUGUCCAUCAGUUGGAGAAUGGCUGAAUAAAUUGUGGUAUAUGAAUAUUAUGGAAUAUUACUGUACCAACAAGACAAUUUCAGAAAGGCCUGGAGAGACUUCCACGAACUGAUGCUGAGUGAAAUGAGCAGGACCAGGAGAUCAUUAUAUACUUCAACAACAAUACUAUAGGAUGACCAGUUCUGAUGGACCAGGCCAUCCUCAGCAACGAGAUCAACCAAAACAUUUCCAAUGGAGCAGUAAUAAACUGAACCAGCUAUGCCCAGAAAAAGAACUCUGGGAGAUGACUAAAAACCAUUACAUUGAAUUCCCAAUCCCUAUAUUUAUGCACACCUGCAUUUUUGAUUUCCUUCACAAGCUAAUUGUACAAUAUUUCAGAGUCUGAUUCUUUUUCUACAGCAAAAUAACGUUUUGGUCAGGUAUACUUAUUGUGUAUCUAAUUUAUAUUUUAAUAUAUUUAACAUCUACUGGUCAUCCUGCUAUCUAGGGAGGGGGGGGGGGUAAGAGGUGAAAAAUUGGAACAAGAGGUUUGGCAAUUGUUAAUGCUGUAAAGUUACCCAUGCAUAUAUCCUGUAAAUAAAAGGCUAUUAAAUAAAAAAAUAAAAAAUAAUAAAAAAAGAAAUCAAGCCAUUUCCCAAUUAAUAAAUGGUCAAAGGAUAUGAAUAAUUUUCAGAUAAAGAAAUUGAAUCUAUUUCUACUCAUAUGAAAAAGUGUUCCAAAUCAUCAUUGAUCAGAGAAAGGUAAAUUAAGACACCUUUCAGAUUGGCUAAGAUGACAGAAAAAGAUAAUGACGAAUGUCGGAAGGGAUAGGGGAAAACUGGGACACUGAUGCAUUGUUGGUGGAGUUGUGAAUGGAUCCAACUAUUCUGGAGAACAAUUUGGAACUAUACUCAAAAAAGUUAUCAAACUGUGCAUACCUUUUGUUCUAGCAGUGUUACUACUGAGCUUAUAUUCCAAAGAGAUAUUAAAGAAGGGAAAGGGACCCAUAUGUGCAAAAAUCUUUGUGGCAGCCCUUUUGUAGUGGCUAGAAACUGGAAAUUAAAUGGAUGCCCAUCAUUUGAAGAAUGGCUAAAUAAAUUGUGGCAUAGGAACGUUAUAGAAUGUUAUUGUUCUAUAAGAAAUGACCAGCAGGAUGAAUAUAGAGAGGUUUGGAGAGACGUAGUGAACUGAUGCUGAAUGAAAUGAGAAGAACCAGGAGAUAAUUAUACACUUCAACAAUAAUACUAUAUGAGGAUCAAUUCUGAUGGACGUGGCUCUCUUCAACAAGGGAUCCAAAUCAGUUCCAAUUGAUCUGUAAUGAACAGAACCAUCUAUACCCAGAGAAAGAACACUGGCAAAUGAGUGUGGACCACAACAUAGAAUUUCCACUCUUUUUGUUAUUGUUUCCUUGCAUUUUUCUUUUUCUUCUCAGGUUAUUUUUACCUUCUUUCUAAAUCUGGUAAUUCUUGUGCAGCAAGAUAAGUAUAGAAAUAUGUAUACCUAUAUUGUAUUUAAUAUAUACUUUAACAUAUCUAACAUGUAUGGGACUAUCUGCCAUCUAAGGGAGGGAGUGGGGGGAAGGAAGGGAAAAGUUGGAACAGAAGGUUUUGCAAGGGUCAGUGUUGAAAAAUUACCCAUGCAUAUGUUUUGUCAAUGAAAAGCUAUAAUAAAAAAAAAAUUCCUAAUCCUAUACUUGUUUUAUUGGAUACAGUUGCUUCACAUUUGAUAACUUAAUAUAGGUUUUUAGAUGUGACCAAUAUACAAUGCCAAUGUUGAGAUAAAUGAUUUUUAUUUAUUUGUGUGUGUAUGUGUGUGUAUAAAGUAAUUUGGAAACAAAUUCAACUAAAUUAAAUCACCAGCCUGUUCUCCCCAGGACUAGAAGGAUAGUGCAUAGUAGAAAGACUGUCUCUUUCUUUUUCUAUCCCCUUCCUUCCUUUUUUGACUGCAGCAGGGAUAUAUGAAUGAAGUGAUGAGAGAGAAAAAGAAAAUAUAUUCAGUUCAGUGAAAUUCAGUAUUUG
RNAcentral lists this long non-coding RNA (2077 nucleotides) under Sarcophilus harrisii (Tasmanian devil). Its description in RNAcentral is "lncRNA (ENSSHAG00000022350.1)". Lineage: Eukaryota; Metazoa; Chordata; Mammalia; Dasyuromorphia; Dasyuridae. The record is from RNAcentral.